GACGAACGCUGGCGGCGUGCUUAACACAUGCAAGUCGAACGGAAAGGCCCUGCUUUUGUGGGGUGCUCGAGUGGCGAACGGGUGAGUAACACGUGAGUAACCUGCCCUUGACUUUGGGAUAACUUCAGGAAACUGGGGCUAAUACCGGAUAGGAGCUCCUGCUGCAUGGUGGGGGUUGGAAAGUUUCGGCGGUUGGGGAUGGACUCGCGGCUUAUCAGCUUGUUGGUGGGGUAGUGGCUUACCAAGGCUUUGACGGGUAGCCGGCCUGAGAGGGUGACCGGCCACAUUGGGCCUGAGAUACGGCACAGACUCCUACGGGAGGCAGUAGUGGGGAAUAUUGCACAAUGGGCGGAAGCCUGAUGCAGCAACGCCGCGUGCGGGAUGACGGCCUUCGGGUUGUAAACCGCUUUCGCCUGUGACGAAGCGUGAGUGACGGUAAUGGGUAAAGAAGCACCGGCUAACUACGUG
RNAcentral lists this ribosomal RNA (468 nucleotides) under uncultured bacterium. RNAcentral's name for it is "partial 16S ribosomal RNA". It matches the Rfam family "Bacterial small subunit ribosomal RNA", at positions 28 to 507 of the family's 1533-position model. The record is from RNAcentral.